UAUACCUACGGGGGGCAGCAGUGGGGAAUAUUGGGCAAUGGGCGAAAGCCUGACCCAGCAACGCCGCGUGAAGGAAGAAGGCUUUCGGGUUGUAAACUUCUUUUGACAGGGAAGAGCAGAAGACGGUACCUGUCGAAUAAGCCACGGCUAACUACGUGCCAGCAGCCGCGGUAAUACGUAGGUGGCAAGCGUUGUACGGAUUUACUGGGUGUAAAGGGCGUGUAGUCGGGCUGACAAGUCAGAUGUGAAAUCCGGGGGAUGAA
RNAcentral lists this ribosomal RNA (263 nucleotides) under uncultured bacterium. RNAcentral describes it as "partial 16S ribosomal RNA". It matches the Rfam family "Bacterial small subunit ribosomal RNA", at positions 334 to 612 of the family's 1533-position model. The record is from RNAcentral.